This 420-nucleotide ribosomal RNA is filed under the name Fusobacteriota bacterium. Its description in RNAcentral is "Fusobacteria bacterium partial 16S ribosomal RNA". It matches the Rfam family "Bacterial small subunit ribosomal RNA", at positions 355 to 776 of the family's 1533-position model. The record is from RNAcentral. Lineage: Bacteria; Fusobacteriati; Fusobacteriota.
UGGGGGAUAUUGCACAAUGGGCGAAAGCCUGAUGCAGCGACGCCGCGUGGGGGAUGAAGGCCUUCGGGUUGUAAACUUCCUUUGCUCUGAACAAGGCAUGCCUUCGGGGUGUGUUGAGUGUAGGGGUUGAUUAGCGCCGGCCAACUACGUGCCAGCAGCCGCGGUAAUACGUAGGGCGCGAGCGUUGUCCGGAAUUAUUGGGCGUGAAGGGCUUGUAGGUGGCUGGUUGCGUCUGUCGUGAAAGCCCAUGGCUUAACUGUGGGUUUGCGGUGGGUACGGGCUGGCUUGAGUGCAGUAGGGGAGGCUGGAAUUCCUGGUGUAGCGGUGGAAUGCGCAGAUAUCAGGAGGAAUACCGGUGGCGAAGGCGAGUCUCUGGGCUGUUACUGACGCUGAAGAGCGAAAGCGUGGGGAGCGAACAGG